AUGAAGACACGCCAGGGCUUGCAGCUGUACUAAUUAAGUACGUUAGGUGAAGGUUUCUGAUAUGAUAAUCAACAACAAAACGGCAGCUUUAGCAUUUAAACCAUCUUAAUGAGGUGUUAGAACUGAAGUCCCUUUGAGGUGAAUGGGGAAAGUUUGUACACGCUGCUAUUGUUCCAGCCCGUCUGGCUCUCCACUCGAAACAACAGUGCGGUGAUUACCUUAACAGCCAGAACAAGACGCCUUUUUCCCAACAAGCAUUGGGUGCUCAUCAGUGUGAUUAAUCAGCCUGUAUUUGCACAGGACUUUGAAGACAAGAGAAAGCUGGUAGAAGUCCUGCGGGUUAUUACUGCCCAAAUAAAACUACCCGAAUUCCACUUCCUUACUAAGCUAGUCUUGCAAAUAACUGCCAGCAAAUAAACAACUGAAGACAUAGUACAUCUCUCCAUUCUCCUCAGAGAAAUAUUACUUUCAAAGCCAAAUUAGGACCAUUUAAAUGCAAGCAACUCUCCAAGGAGGCUGCCCAGGGACCAAUAGUACAGUCACACACGAAGGCACUUCCGUAUACAAGCAUCAGCCAGGACACUGUGCAUAACUUAUUUUUUUACCAAUAGCACUGGAAGCAGGCUUAUUUUCUCAUGCAGAUCUCAGGGCUAAACACGGAGAAAGGUUCACAGGAAGAAAUACUCCCUCUUAUUUUUCUAAGAGACACUUCAUCCUAGUCUGAAAGGCAAAUCCCCAACCCCGUGUAAGGUAAAGCUGCUGCCACUGGUCUCCACGUGCUCUGCACCACUUUUGACUGUAGCCAAAUGCCAACACCACCACCCGAAGAUUUUUAACUCUAGCAAAUUCGGGGCCCCACCUGAAGCCCACAGAAGAUUCUGAUUAACUUAAUUUGCAAGCUAUAGAAUAAACUUUUGGCAUUAUUUUAGUUGUGCAAUCAAUUUUAUUGUGUUAUUAAGCUAUUUGUUGUAGAAUUUGUCGUCAAUCAAAACACAAAGUACAGUUCUGGUGUAUGGCUAGCCCUUGCAAAGAAAUAAAUGCUUUGAUGUUAGAUAUCGAUUUUGUUCAGCAUUAAUAAAAAAUAUUUACUUGUGUACUAUGCCUAUUCACUGUGUAGAUGGUCAGACUAUGGAAAAUGUUAAAGGUGUCUCCCAGAAGAAUUGUUCCCUUUACAUAUUCUGUUGUUUGUGUGGGCUUAUUUAUUGUGUGCUUUUUUAAUUAAUUAAUUGAUUGACGUUAAGCAAGCAGUUGAUUACAAAAAAGAAAUCAAAAAUAAAACAAACAAACAAACAAAAAAACUCCACCAAAAAAAAAAACCAACAAAAAAAACCCAAACAAAAAAUUAAGUCCUAUCCCUAGAAAGGAAGAAAAAUAUUUACUUAGACCACUGAAGACCUCAGUGCAAGCAAGAAACUAACAGGCUUACCUGUGUCCUUCAAAAACUGCUCUUGAAGAAAGUUUUAUUGAACCCUCUGGUCCUUAU
Molecule: long non-coding RNA, 1483 nt
Organism: Zonotrichia leucophrys gambelii
Lineage: Eukaryota; Metazoa; Chordata; Aves; Passeriformes; Passerellidae
Exons: 2
Source: RefSeq, a predicted model, not a curated record